GGGAUUACCUCAGUAACGGCGAGUGAAGCGGUAACAGCUCAAAAUUUGAAAUCUGGCUCUUUCAGGGGCCCGAGUUGUAAUUUGUAGAAGAUGCUUUGGGAGUGGCUCCGGUCUAAGUUCCUUGGAACAGGACGUCAUAGAGGGUGAGAAUCCCGUACGUGACCGGUGGCCUUCGCCCGUGUAAAGCUCUUUCGACGAGUCGAGUUGUUUGGGAAUGCAGCUCUAAAUGGGUGGUAUAUUUCAUCUAAAGCUAAAUAUUGGCCAGAGACCGAUAGCGCACAAGUAGAGUGAUCGAAAGAUGAAAAGCACUUUGGAAAGAGAGUUAAACAGUACGUGAAAUUGUUGAAAGGGAAGCGCUUGCAACCAGACUUGCACGCGGUCGAUCAUCCGAGGUUCUCCCCGGUGCACUCGACCGUGUUCAGGCCAGCAUCGGUUUCGGUGGUGGGAUAAAGGCCGUGGGAAUGUGGCUCCUCUCGGGGAGUGUUAUAGCCCUCGGUGC
RNAcentral lists this ribosomal RNA (499 nucleotides) under Aphanodesmium gabretae. RNAcentral's name for it is "partial 28S ribosomal RNA". It matches the Rfam family "Eukaryotic large subunit ribosomal RNA", at positions 71 to 571 of the family's 3401-position model. Lineage: Eukaryota; Fungi; Ascomycota; Leotiomycetes; Helotiales. The record is from RNAcentral.